GCUUAUCACCAUUCCAGAUUGAAUAUACCCGAUCUCGUUUGAUCUCGGAAGUCAAGCAACCUCGGGCUUGGUUAGUACUUGGAUGGGUGACCGCUUGGGAAUACCAAGUGUGAUAAGCA
Ciona savignyi (Pacific transparent sea squirt) is the source of this 119-nucleotide non-coding RNA. The record is from Rfam. Lineage: Eukaryota; Metazoa; Chordata; Ascidiacea; Phlebobranchia; Cionidae.